UACAGAGGUCUCAAGCGUUGUUCGGAUUCAUUGGGCGUAAAGGGCGCGUAGGUGGCUCGUUAAGCGUGUGGUGAAAGCCUGGGGCUCAACCCCAGGUCUGCCGUGCGAACUGGCGAGCUUGAGCAGAGUAGAGGCGGGUGGAAUUUCGGGUGUAGCGGUGGAAUGCGUAGAUAUCCGAAAGAACACCGGUGGCGAAGGCGGCCCGCUGGGCUCUUGCUGACACUGAUGCGCGACAGCGUGGGGAGCAAACAGG
This 253-nucleotide ribosomal RNA is filed under the name uncultured bacterium. RNAcentral's name for it is "partial 16S ribosomal RNA". It matches the Rfam family "Bacterial small subunit ribosomal RNA", at positions 524 to 776 of the family's 1533-position model. The record is from RNAcentral.